This 253-nucleotide ribosomal RNA is filed under the name uncultured bacterium. RNAcentral's name for it is "partial 16S ribosomal RNA". It matches the Rfam family "Bacterial small subunit ribosomal RNA", at positions 524 to 776 of the family's 1533-position model. The record is from RNAcentral.
UACGGGGGGAGCAAGCGUUGUUCGGAUUUACUGGGCGUAAAGGGCGCGUAGGCGGUCUGCUAAGUUCGGUGUGAAAGCCCCUGGCUCAACUGGGGAACUGCGCCGGAAACUGGCAGACUAGAGUACCGGAGAGGAGGGUGGAAUUCCUGGUGUAGCGGUGAAAUGCGUAGAUAUCAGGAGGAACACCGGUGGCGAAGGCGGCCCUCUGGACGGAUACUGACGCUGAGGCGCGAAAGCGUGGGGAUCAAACAGG